AAGUUUAAACUUUUAUUAGAA
RNAcentral lists this transfer RNA (21 nucleotides) under Otiorhynchus ovatus. RNAcentral describes it as "partial tRNA-Leu". The record is from RNAcentral. Lineage: Eukaryota; Metazoa; Arthropoda; Insecta; Coleoptera; Curculionidae.